RNAcentral lists this ribosomal RNA (429 nucleotides) under Bacillota bacterium. RNAcentral's name for it is "Firmicutes bacterium partial 16S ribosomal RNA". It matches the Rfam family "Bacterial small subunit ribosomal RNA", at positions 355 to 776 of the family's 1533-position model. The record is from RNAcentral. Lineage: Bacteria; Bacillati; Bacillota.
UGGGGAAUUUUGGACAAUGGGGGCAACCCUGAUCCAGCCAUGCCGCGUGUGUGAAGAAGGCCUUCGGGUUGUAAAGCACUUUUGUCCGGGAAGAAAUCGCACCUGAUAAUACCGGGUGUGGAUGACGGUACCGGAAGAAUAAGGACCGGCUAACUACGUGCCAGCAGCCGCGGUAAUACGUAGGGUCCAAGCGGUAAUCGGAAUUACUGGGCGUAAAGCGUGCGCAGGCGGUUGUGCAAGACCGAUGUGAAAUCCCCGGGCUUAACCUGGGAAUUGCAUUGGUGACUGCACGGCUAGAGUGUGUCAGAGGGGGGUGGAAUUCCACGGGUAGCAGUGAAAUGCGUAGAGAUGUGGAGGAAUACCGAUGGCGAAGGCAGCCCCCUGGGAUAACACUGACGCUCAUGCACGAAAGCGUGGGGAGCAAACAGG